Molecule: ribosomal RNA, 292 nt
Filed under: uncultured bacterium
Lineage: Bacteria
Description: partial 16S ribosomal RNA
Rfam family: Bacterial small subunit ribosomal RNA
Source: RNAcentral
GUGCCAGCCGCCGCGGUAAGACGUAGGAUGCGAGCGUUGUCCGGAUUUAUUGGGCGUAAAGAGUUCGUAGGUGGUUCGUUAAGUUUGGUGUUAAAGACCAGGGCUCAACCUUGGGACCGCACUGAAUACUGGCGGACUGGAGUGAAGUAGAGGCAAGCGGAAUUCCAGGUGUAGCGGUGAAAUGCGUAGAUAUCUGGAAGAACACCGGUGGCGUAAGCGGCUUGCUGGGCUUUAACUGACGCUGAGGAACGAAAGCUAGGGUAGCGAAUGGGAUUAGAUACCCCCGUAGUCC